RNAcentral lists this ribosomal RNA (445 nucleotides) under uncultured bacterium. RNAcentral describes it as "SSU rRNA". It matches the Rfam family "Bacterial small subunit ribosomal RNA", at positions 26 to 518 of the family's 1533-position model. The record is from RNAcentral.
AGAGCGAACGCUGGCGGCAGGCCUAACACAUGCAAGUCGAGCGCGUGUAGCAAUACACGAGCGGCAGACGGGAGAGUAACACGUGGGAACGCGCCCUUCGGUUCGGAAUAACUCAGGGAAACUUGAGCUAAUACCGGAUACGCCCUUACGGGGAAAGAUUUAUUGCCGAAGGAACGGCCCGCGUCCGAUUAGCUAGUUGGUGAGGUAACGGCUCACCAAGGCGACGAUCGGUAGCUGGUCUGAGAGGAUGACCAGCCUCACUGGGACUGAGACACGGCCCAGACUCCUACGGGAGGCAGCAGUGGGGAAUAUUGGACAAUGGGCGCAAGCCUGAUCCAGCCAUGCCGCGUGGAUGAUGAAGGCCUUAGGGUUGUAAAGCUCUUUCGCACGCGACGAUAAUGACGGUAGCGUGAGAAGAGCCCGGCUAACUCGCGCCAGCAGCCGC